UACGAAGGUGGCAAGCGUUGUUCGGAAUCACUGGGCUUAAAGAGUACGUAGGCGGCCCAUCAAGUGCUUUGUGAAAUCCCCCGGCUCAACCGGGGAAUUGCUGAGCAUACUGUAGGGCUUGAGGCAGGUAGGGGCGCGUGGAACUCUUGGUGGAGCGGUGGAAUGCGUAGAUAUCAAGAGGAACGCCGGUGGCGAAAGCGAUGCGCUGGGCCUGUCCUGACGCUGAGGUACGAAAGCUAGGGGAGCAAACGGG
This 253-nucleotide ribosomal RNA is filed under the name uncultured bacterium. RNAcentral describes it as "partial 16S ribosomal RNA". It matches the Rfam family "Bacterial small subunit ribosomal RNA", at positions 524 to 776 of the family's 1533-position model. The record is from RNAcentral.